UACAGAGGGUGCGAGCGUUAAUCGGAAUUACUGGGCGUAAAGCGCGCGUAGGCGGUUCUGUAAGUCGGGUGUGAAAUCCCCAAGCUUAACUUGGGAACUGCAUUCGAGACUGCAUAGCUAGAGUAUGGGAGAGGGAAGUGGAAUUUCAGGUGUAGCGGUGAAAUGCGUAGAUAUCUGAAGGAACAUCAGUGGCGAAAGCGACUUCCUGGACCAAUACUGACGCUCAUGUGCGAAAGCGUGGGGAGCAAACAGG
Molecule: ribosomal RNA, 253 nt
Filed under: uncultured bacterium
Lineage: Bacteria
Description: partial 16S ribosomal RNA
Rfam family: Bacterial small subunit ribosomal RNA
Source: RNAcentral